UGUGGGAGCGGGCUUGCCCGCGAUAGCGAUCUGUCAGUCGAUGUUGUUGUGACUGGCCCACCGCAAUCGCGGGCAAGCCCGCUCCCACA
RNAcentral lists this unclassified non-coding RNA (89 nucleotides) under Pseudomonas gessardii. Lineage: Bacteria; Pseudomonadati; Pseudomonadota; Gammaproteobacteria; Pseudomonadales; Pseudomonadaceae. The record is from RNAcentral.